RNAcentral lists this ribosomal RNA (590 nucleotides) under Rhizogeton sp. MHNG-HYD-DNA722. RNAcentral's name for it is "partial 16S ribosomal RNA". It matches the Rfam family "Bacterial large subunit ribosomal RNA", at positions 1817 to 2609 of the family's 2925-position model. Lineage: Eukaryota; Metazoa; Cnidaria; Hydrozoa; Anthoathecata; Clavidae. The record is from RNAcentral.
AGCCCUCGACCUAAUCGGAGGUGUGACCUGCUCAGUGGUCUAUAAGCACGUUAAAUAAUAUUUAACCACUUAGACUAAAAAGACGCAUUAAUCUGAGUGUGAUAAUGUAGCAUAAUCACUCGCCAUUUAAUUGGUGGAUGGUAUGAAUGGUUGCACGAGUGUUCCAUUGUUUUUAAUGUAAAGUAAUUGAAAUUCAGCUUAUCGUAAAGACGCGAUAUAAAAUUGUAAGACGAAAAGACCCUAUAGAGCUUCACUAUAUACUCUUUUAUAAUUUAUAUAAGACAGUAUGGUAGUUUGGUUGGGGCGACCGCCUUUUAAAAAGAACAAAGGCCAGCAAAUAUAUUAAAAAAAUUUACUGUAUAAUACAUCUAUUUAACAGUUAUGAAAGUAGGCUAAAAUGACCCAUUCUAAAAAAGCAUAUAGAAUGUUCAAGAAAUAAAAGCUACCUUAGGGAUAACAGGGUAAUUUCUGUAAGGACUGAGAUAGUGCUGACAGAGCUUGCCACCUCGAUGUUGAAUUAAGGUAUCCUUACGACUAAGUCGUCGUAAAGGGUAGGUCUGUUCGACCUUUAAAACCUUACAUGAUUUGAG